Molecule: ribosomal RNA, 499 nt
Filed under: uncultured bacterium
Lineage: Bacteria
Description: bacterial SSU rRNA
Rfam family: Bacterial small subunit ribosomal RNA
Source: RNAcentral
AGAGUUUGAUCAUGGCUCAGAACGAACGUUGGCGGCGUGCUUAACACAUGCAAGUCGAACGAGAAAGUUCCUUCGGGAACGAGUAAAGUGGCGCACGGGUGAGUAACGCGUAGAUAACCUGUCCAGGUGUUUGGGAUAGCCCUUCGAAAGGGGGAUUAAUACCGAAUACGUUGAUUUGUCAUAAGGCAGAUCAAGAAAGGUGGCCUCUAUUUAUAAGCUAUCGCAUUUGGAGGGGUCUGCGUACCAUUAGCUAGUUGGUGGGGUAAUGGCCUACCAAGGCUUCGAUGGUUAGCGGGUCUGAGAGGAUGAUCCGUCACACUGGCACUGAAACACGGGCCAGACUCCUACGGGAGGCAGCAGUGAGGAAUAUUGCGCAAUGGGGGGAACCCUGACGCAGCGACGCCGCGUGAGUGAGGAAGGCCUUCGGGUCGUAAAGCUCUGUCAGAAGGGAAGAAAUGUACAUUAGCUAAUAUCUUUUGUGCUUGACGGUACCUCAAAG